Molecule: long non-coding RNA, 1019 nt
Filed under: Cyanistes caeruleus (blue tit)
Lineage: Eukaryota; Metazoa; Chordata; Aves; Passeriformes; Paridae
Description: lncRNA (ENSCCEG00000017428.1)
Source: RNAcentral
GUUUCUCCCAGCUUGGGGAUACUCAGAAACCUCCCUGCCUGGAGGCAGCCAGCUGAGAGGAGAGCAAUACCUCAGUUUCAUAUGAAAAAUGAAGAGGAACUCACAUGCUUGAUGUUACUGGCUUGCAAGAAGAACAGAAAUGGAUCAAAAAGAAGUUGAGUUUGCAGAAAUCUCCCACUGGCAGUUCUUAUGGCUGCCUCUAAGAAAGAGGAAGAAGAAACAACCUUACGUAACUAAGAUGCAUCUGGAAAGCAAGAACCAAAAGCCUGCCUGUUUUAGUUUUCUUGUGAGGCUUUAGCAUCGUUUGGGGCAGUUUAUAACUGAAUGUGCUAGAGCACAGACACAGCUGUGUGCUCAAUGACCAACCAUCACCAGCUGUCUGUCUCCUGGGGCCCACACUUUGUAACAGGAGGAUCUUCCAGGGCCAGAGAGCAGCCAGGAUGAGUGCAGGUUGGCACUGCACGUGGGGCACAGGAGAGUGAAGUCCUGUCCUUUCUGCACACUGCAGUGACUUAGGCACCACGUUCCUGGGUGUGUUUUCAUCAACCAAAAUGACAGUCUGCAAAAGUGCCCCGGGGACAUGGGAAUCCUUCUGCAUGGGUCACACAUGCAAAGAGCCUUCUCAAGGCUUCCUCUUAUAAAGAGGAUUCUGUUAGAGAGGACUCUGUUUUAUCUUAGAUCUGUAAUAUAAGUUGUAACAGGUUACAGAAAUACAUACACACUCGUGCACAUUUCAUCUGUGACAUUUUCUGUAACUUGUUAUUGUCCAGAUCACUGAUAAAGGCAUUAAGGUGUAUAACCAGUGGUGGGUCCCACAGCAUUCCACCCACUCAGCAGUGAUUUCCCUGCACUGUUGUGCUGUAAGGAUCCAGCUUCUGUUCUCGUGCUACUCUGCAUAUGUUGGAUCUGGAGUUGUGGCAUUUUUUUAAUGUUUUAGAAUAUAAAGCAGUUUAGUGGGCUUUUACAGCUAUAUUUAUUAUACUCCUCAAAAUAAAUUUACAAUAAAUCAUUUUUAUACA